Molecule: RNA transcript, 4627 nt
Organism: Motacilla alba alba
Lineage: Eukaryota; Metazoa; Chordata; Aves; Passeriformes; Motacillidae
Gene: GPR132
Gene name: G protein-coupled receptor 132
Exons: 3
Source: RefSeq, a predicted model, not a curated record
UCUGUGCACACCUAGCUAAAAGUGACAUACUUUUGGGCACUCUGAUGAAGUUGUGCCCACAGAACCUCUUUUAGCUCACAGCACUGAGCACUGCACGUGGUAUCGCCAACUACUUCCUGCAGCUCUGUCAGAGCAGCCUCUGAGCUCGGCACGAGCUGGAACACUCCUUCGUCUCCUCUGUGAAAACCAGGGGGAAAAAGGGAAAAAAAUAAAGGAGAAUUCACAUCCAGCCUUUCUUCUCAUCCUUACUCUGCUGGAAAAGCAAGCACCAUCUUUAGCACUGAUGAUGCCACCACAGCAGCUUCCAUACAGACCCACGAGGGCAGGGCCAAGACUCCUAUCAGGGAGAGAUGAUCUACUGCCACAAGAUCAAAGCUCAACACCAUCUUCACAUUUUCCUACUCCCGGAAAGAGAAGCCAUCCUAUCCAUGCUCACUCUUUGCAGCACAGUUAAAGCCAUGCUCUGCCUGGGGGAUUUAAAAGGGAUGAAAGAGACAAAUGCAUUUUGGGGUGGCAAAAAGAGCCUGUGAUCCCUGUGACUGUAAUGAUUGCAGUGAAGGUGUCAGUGAAGGAAAGAGGGGACACUUGUGGAUUUGGGAGUUUGAUCAGAUGUGUUUGGUUAUGAAUACGUUCAGUUGCUACCCCAGAGAUUAUUUUGAGUCACAGUAGUUUGGGGUGGACAUGGCUCUGGACUGGGCCUUUCAAUGGCUCAGUGUGUUUCUACUCGCGAGUGUCAAAGGUUUGGCAGGAGUCUCCUGUUUGAAGGCCUGGAGGCCAAGAAUAAGGAGGAUGAUAUCCAUAAGUAGCUGCAGGGGAAAUCCUAAUAUCGAAAGGGUAACAGAGCACCCCUUUUUAAGGGGUACACUGGUGGGUUUGGACCUAGGUCUUGGUGCUUCUUUGUUCAGCUGCCUGAAGUCAGAUUUUCCUUAAACCCGGCAAUAAAACACACUCAUCUCUAACAGUGUAUCAGCAUAGCCAGACCUCCUCACCUUGUUAAAACAUCCUGUUCCCUGAUAUCCAAGCCUGUUCUCCUACAUCCCAGCCAGUUCCUUUAGCAAUCCAGAGCAGUAUCCACCCACUUCUAUACCCUUGGUGCGAAAUCUGCUGCUACAUGGCUGUGCUUCAGCAUCCUUGAGCGCCCUGAUGCAGGAGAGAGGAAUGGGAAUCACCACUCUCCUCCUCUUCUUCUAAAACUUCGUAGCUCCAGCACAAGCCAGUAGGAAAGUUUGGUCAGCUGGGUUUCCAAAUGGGCCCCUUCUUUAACAGAAGCUAUAGACAACUAGCCCCCAAUGUCAAGGCCACCAAUAGCUUUAGGGAGUCAUUGGGCUCCAGUGCUUGGUGGUUUCAGGUGUGGUGAGGUGUGAAGCAGAGCUGCUCUCAGUUGCUUACUUUCACUGCUGCUGCUCCAACACCUACACUUACCUCAGCCUUUUGACUUGACAGGCUUUACAGUUUAGCCUCAAAUUAAUGACAGCUUUUCUGGACUUCCUGAUGCUUCUCCUGGCCAUGGAGCCAUUCCUCUGGCUCUGGGAUCUUUUCCACACAAGCUGGUGGGUACCAGGGAGCAAAUCUGUCCUGCAAUAGCUGUACUCUGAUGCUCUCAGGGAGGACUGAGAAACUUUGCUAGGUCUGAAGCCCCAAAAUCCUGACUCAUUGACUUUGAAUCAUGACACCAAAGUCCCCUGAUAGAGGUGGAUUUGGGGGUCUAUUUUUCACCUGUGAACUUCCCCUACCUACAAUGUUUAAGCCGUUUUACCUGCUUUUAUACACAUUGAAUAAUGUGGUCUUAAACCCAGUACAAGGAUCUUUUGCCAACAUCUCUCUCCCAUCCACCAGACACUCUUCUCUACUGUGCAGUCCCUCUCCAGGUAGCAAGGCACUAGGACACCCAGAUUAAGGAAGGAACACUUUUUAAAACUAGGCCUUUGUCAAACCUGAAUUAUGACACUUCCCCUUAGUAAUACCACAGCCGCUCAUUUUAGCAAAUUAGCACACUUUGUACUAGUGUGGGAUUUCUAGAUUGUGAAAAGGGGGAAGUGGAUGUAUGGAUUUAUGUAAAAACCUGCACGGAGGUAUUUAAAAAUCUAGUCAUUGAGAGUUCACAUCUAUGAACAGUGUUGUCUUGAGGUAAAUCAAAUCCUCAGGAAAGAUUGCUGAGCUCCUCCCUUCCUGAAAGGCAAGUGAUUAAUAACGUCUCUCUUCUCCCAUAUAUCUUUUUUUAUUUUUAUAUUUAUUAUUAUCUUCAUUUUAAUAUCUUUGUAAGACUGCUUAUAUCUGCAUUAUAUCUCAUAUCUGCAAUAUAGAAUUAAAAAUAAAGGCUGUAUAACUAAUCAGUCUUGCUGAUUUCAGCUACGAAUGCUGAAACUUGUUUUAACCAGCACCAGGCAAGAGAUAGGUUACCUGCUCCACCAGUGGAAGAAAGAUAUUUUAGGAUAGAGUUGUGCUCAGGCUAGAUUCCCAGGAUAGCUUUAAAACACUUUUUUUUUUUUUCUAAACAGAGUUUUGAAACUAUAUAGUGCCAAGAUUAUGUAUUCAUCUAUUAUGUUCUAAUUUGAAACAAAGUUGCUUGAAAAUACAUGGGUUUAUGUUCAAAUUUCAAAUUAUACAGCUUCAAAUCCUGCUGUGUUUGUGUGUGUCAGUAAAAAUAAUUGGUCUGAUGGGUAACCAAGUGGAGCCAUGGCUCUUUCUACUUUUUAUGCUGAGAUCUGCUUAUAGGAGUGACUUCCUUUACUAAUUUGUUUAUUAAUAAUGGAAGAAAAUCACUGACUUGCUGGGCAUACGGGCCAGGAUCUGUUUCUAUUCAAAGACACCAUAAACAUUCUUCCUUCUUUCAAGAACAGCAGAGCAAAUAGCACAGCAAUUCCUUAGUUUCAAGUUAAGAGACACAAAGGUUUAUCAGUUGAUAAUUUACAGGCCAUUAUUGUAAGUUCUGCGUGAGGAGAAGCCCUGGUUCAGACGUUGGAGGAGUGACAUUGCUGGCGACAAGCACUGUAGGUGGCAUAAAUGUCACAUCUGGGAACUGAUGUGUUUCAGUAUAGAUUUGAGUGUCCAACGGACGUCCUGCUGGCACCCUCGUGUCAAACCUUUCCAGCACCACAUUCAACUAAGGAAAGCACACAGAAUCCCUCAGAAGAAACUCAGGUCCUCAAUCACUGAAGGCUGAUUUAUGCUUUGAGACAUGCAGGUUGUUUUCCUCUACAGAUAUUGGGGACAGGAAGGAAAGUGUGAAAGGAAAGUUUGUUUCCAUUUUAACCAUCACAGAGGGUAUUUCACAUUAUUCCUAAUAUCCACACAAAUGCCUCAAAACUUUUGGCUCUAACAAUAAUCCCUGGAAGAGAUGGAUGAUCAGAAAAAUAUUAGAAAAUAAAAUAUAUAUUAAUUAAUGUGCUUUGCUCAUGUAAUUGUACUCAUGUUAUGGAUUUUACUGUGUCCUUUUUUUUCUUCUGUCCCUGGGUAUCUCAGGUGAGUUACUCCAAACACUUUCAACCAGUCUCUGUCUAACUAUUGUGCUUUUUUUGACUUAUCCUUCUCUGCCUUGUAACCAUAACUGCAAUUUUCUUUUUUUACUUUUUCUAGUAGUGGCUAUUUUUAUCACUCCAACUUCUCCUUUGGAAACUUAAACAAUUUCACAUGAGCAGUUCAUACACAAAAAAACAAACAACAAAAAAAAGGCAAAGUAAAGAUUUUUGCUUUCCUGCUUGUUUUCAUUUCCCUUUUUUUUACACUUCAGUGUUACUGAAGACUUUUCUUGAGAAAAGAUUAAUGCAACUGGCCCAAAUGAGCAGCAGGAGCCACUGCAUUUUAGGAGUAUGAAACGUAAUUAUCUAGCAGCAUGGACACAGCAUACGGAUAUUAGAAAUGGAAGAGUGUAAAUACAGAGCAGGCAUGCAGCAAAACUUGGCAGAUUACCCCAUCUUCCAGUGAUUUGUGCUCAGGUGCUUCGUGAUCCCUCUGUCCUGGAAGAUGAGAUGUUUUGCAUAUCUUGAAGGUGAGAAACAUGCACGUGACAACUGCGGUAUGUCUCAUGCAGGGACUCUCACAGAGCAAGAAGCCUCAGAGUGCUGACAAAAAUACAUUGAGCUGCUGGUGCAAAACACAGCUGCUGUAACGCCUAUGAUUGGUGAGACCUAGCAGAUCAGUAUAGGCCACAAAAAGGUGAAAACAGCUACUGUGGAGAGGCUUGCUCAACUGAAGGAUACAGGGCAGCAAAGAUAACUCAUUGAAACAGUUUGUGUCUCACAAAUGCGUUCGUGGAUAUUGCUCAUCCUUGUCAUCAUCACUACAUUUUACCCUUUAUGAAUGCUUGAAAAUUGCUGGGUGUGAUAAAUCUCUUGAGUUCUGGUGCUCAAACCAAAACUGAUCAUCACAAAUAUUAAUAGAAAAUGGUGUCUAGUUUUUUUCACCAGUGGAAUUAUUACUGUUUUUCAUUUGAAUUAAUAUUUGAGAUGCAGGUUAGCCUUGACAUCCCAGAGGAAGACAGAACUGGGAAUUGUCUGGGCUGAGCCAAGCAUCAAACUAUUAAACUCUAAAGGUCUGAAAAGACACAAAUGUGCUUUCAAUUGAAGAGGGGUGUAAAGGCACAGAGAAGUUGACUUCCGUCACAAGGUGGACUGUGGCGUUAUUAUUU